RNAcentral lists this ribosomal RNA (498 nucleotides) under uncultured bacterium. RNAcentral's name for it is "partial 16S ribosomal RNA". It matches the Rfam family "Bacterial small subunit ribosomal RNA", at positions 28 to 507 of the family's 1533-position model. The record is from RNAcentral.
GACGAACGCUGGCGGCGUGCCUAAUACAUGCAAGUCGAACGAGAGCGACCGGUGCUCGCACUGGUCAAUCUAGUGGCGAACGGGUGAGUAACACGUGGGUAACCUGCCCAUCAGAGGGGGAUAACAUCCGGAAACGGAUGCUAAAACCGCAUAGGUCUUCGAACCGCAUGGUUUGAAGAGGAAAAGAGGCGCAAGCUUCUGCUGAUGGAUGGACCCGCGGUGCAUUAGCUAGUUGGUGAGGUAACGGCUCACCAAGGCCGUGAUGCAUAGCCGACCUGAGAGGGUGAUCGGCCACAUUGGGACUGAGACACGGCCCAAACUCCUACGGGAGGCAGCAGUAGGGAAUCUUCCGCAAUGGACGCAAGUCUGACGGAGCAACGCCGCGUGAGUGAAGAAGGUUUUCGGAUCGUAAAACUCUGUUGUUAGAGAAGAACAAGUGCUAGAGUAACUGUUAGCGCCUUGACGGUAGCUAACCAGAAAGCCACGGCUAACUACGUG